AAAAUAAAAAUCAUUAUAAGUGAAAAAAAAAGAUAGUAACAGAUUUUUUAAGUUAAUUUUCAAGGGGGAAAAAAGUGAGAGGCCAUUUAUAUGAUUUCAUCAUUUCUUCAUCCUGCAAAUGCUUCCUGAGCUCAAUGUGUACCAGGCUCUGUGCUGUUGCUGGGGUUAUAAAGAUGAAUGCAGCACUGCUGUCACUAGGAAGAGAAACACAAGGCCAAAGAAAGAAAGACUGUCACUUAGGUGAAAGGAACCAGAAGAGGGUGGGCACUUGGAAGCCGCUGGUAGAAGGAAGUUUGAAAAAGUGGAGUGAAAAUGGCAAGCGCUGCCAGGAGGUCACCAGGUGUUUCAUUUGGGAAGUAAGCAAAGUUCUUUGUUCUCCAGUAAUCUUGGACUGACUUGAAAAGGGCUAUGAUUAAGUUAGACUUGUUGUAUGCACAGCCUGGGAGUAAGGGUCCCUUAACAGCAGGAGGAAAAGGACAUGGGGGGUGGGGAGCAUCUCUAAACUCGCCUAAAUAUGCAUCUAGAAAAUCAAAUGCACAAAGCAGAGGCUGAGGGAUUGCUGACAGGGAAACCCAGGCCCAGAGUGGAGAGCUGGUUUGGUGGACAACGCCAGCUGUGAGAAAACUGCAGCACAGGGAGUAAACGCCCUGCCCAAAUUCCCACAAAAAGAGACAGAGAUCUUAAUCGCUACACUGUCCCAUGUGUCCACCCAGCUAAGAGGGACUCAACACCAGCAACAAACAGAGCAGCUGGCUCGACCCAACCAUCAUGUGAAGAUGGCAGAUGAAACUGGGCAUCCCAGGACCACAUCCUUGGAUGACUCCUUGAGGGAGAGAGUCAGAAGAAAGUGUGACCAGAGACUUUGAGGAGGCAUGUGCAUGGGAAAUCAGGGAAGAUGUGAUGAUGGAGAAGAAAGAGCACAUUGAAUUAAGAAGAUUCUGCUUCCCACCAGCCAUGUGAUUGUAGACCAUCUAUUUCAGCUUUCCAAAACACCAUUAUAUGACCUGUACCACAGGGACUAUAUUAUGGGGAUUAAAUGAUAUGAUGAAUAUAAAAGCCAUGGGUGCACUGCCUCUUUUUUUUUUUUUUUUUUUGUCUUAUUUAGGACCACACCUAUAUCAAGGUUUGCAGGCUAGGAGCUGAAUCAGAGCUGUAGCUGCUGGGCUACACCAC
Sus scrofa (pig) is the source of this 1173-nucleotide non-coding RNA. Lineage: Eukaryota; Metazoa; Chordata; Mammalia; Artiodactyla; Suidae. The record is from RefSeq and is a predicted model, not a curated record.